This 406-nucleotide ribosomal RNA is filed under the name uncultured bacterium. RNAcentral's name for it is "partial 16S ribosomal RNA". It matches the Rfam family "Bacterial small subunit ribosomal RNA", at positions 30 to 526 of the family's 1533-position model. The record is from RNAcentral.
AUUGAACGCUGGCGGCCGGCCUAACACAUGCAAGUCGAACGAGUGGCGGACGGGUGAGUAAUGUCUGGUAAACUGCCUGAUGGAGGGGGCUAACUACUGGAACCGGUAGCUAAUACCGCAUACCAUCAGAUGUGCCCAUAUGGGAUUAGCUAGUUGGUGGGGUAACGGCUCACCAAGGCGACGAUCCCUAGCUGGUCUGAGAGGAUGACCAGCCACACGGGAACUGGGACACGGUCCAGACUCCUACGUGAGGCAUCAGUGGGGAAUAUUGCACAAUGGGCGAAAGCCUGAUGCAGCCAUGCCGCGUGUAUGAAGAAGGCCGUCGGGUUGUAAAGUACUUCGAGCGGGUAGGCGUUACCCGCAGAAGAAGUACCGGCUAACUCCGUGCCAGCAGCCGCGGUAAUAC